This 740-nucleotide ribosomal RNA is filed under the name uncultured bacterium. Its description in RNAcentral is "bacterial SSU rRNA". It matches the Rfam family "Bacterial small subunit ribosomal RNA", at positions 8 to 796 of the family's 1533-position model. The record is from RNAcentral.
AGAGUUUGAUCCUGGCUCAGAGCGAACGCUGGCGGCAGGCCUAAUACACGCAAGUCGAACGGCUCUUCGGAGCAGUGGCGGACGGGUGAGUAACGCGUGGGAACGUGCCCUUUGGUUCGGAACAACACAGGGAAGCUUGUGCUAAUACCGAAUGUGCCCUUCGGGGGAAAGAUUUAUCGCCAUUGGAGCGGCCCGCGUUGGAUUAGCUAGUUGGUGGGGUAAAGGCCCACCAAGGCUACGAUCCAUAGCUGGUCUGAGAGGAUGAUCAGCCACACUGGGACUGAGACACGGCCCAGACUCCUACGGGAGGCAGCAGUAGGGAAUCUUGCGCAAUGGGCGAAAGCCUGACGCAGCCAUGCCGCGUGAAUGAUGAAGGUCUUAGGAUUGUAAAAUUCUUUCACCGGGGAAGAUAAUGACGGUACCCGGAGAAGAAGCCCCGGCUAACUUCGUGCCAGCAGCCGCGGUAAUACGAAGGGGGCUAGCGUUGCUCGGAAUUACUGGGCGUAAAGGGCGCGUAGGCGGACAUUUAAGUCAGAGGUGAAAGCCCAGGGCUCAACCUUGGAAUUGCCUUUGAUACUGGAUGUCUUGAGUUCGGGAGAGGUGAGUGGAAUGCCGAGUGUAGAGGUGAAAUUCGUAGAUAUUCGGCGGAACACCAGUGGCGAAGGCGACUCACUGGCCCGAUACUGACGCUGAGGCGCGAAAGCGUGGGGAGCAAACAGGAUUAGAUACCCCGGUAGUCC